CGGGAUAAGCUUGGGAAACUGGGUCUAAUACCGGAUAGGACCGCACUUUAGUGUGUGUGGUGGAAAGUUUUUUCGGUGUAGGAUGAGCUCGCGGCCUAUCAGCUUGUUGGUGGGGUAAUGGCCUACCAAGGCGGCGACGGGUAGCCGGCCUGAGAGGGUGUACGGCCACAUUGGGACUGAGAUACGGCCCAG
Molecule: ribosomal RNA, 192 nt
Filed under: uncultured Actinomycetales bacterium
Lineage: Bacteria; Bacillati; Actinomycetota; Actinomycetes; Actinomycetales
Description: partial 16S ribosomal RNA
Rfam family: Bacterial small subunit ribosomal RNA
Source: RNAcentral